UAAUGAUGGUGAGGCAAUUUUUGAGCAUACCCUUAAAUCUCUCCCAAGCUUGGUAGAGAUUCUCUCUUUCUUUUUGUUUGAAACUCAAGAUUUUUCUUCUUAAGCA
This is a non-coding RNA of Capsicum annuum, 106 nucleotides long. The record is from Rfam. NCBI's taxonomy places the organism in Eukaryota, Viridiplantae, Streptophyta, Magnoliopsida, Solanales, Solanaceae.